Molecule: ribosomal RNA, 375 nt
Filed under: Nematoda sp.
Lineage: Eukaryota; Metazoa; Nematoda
Description: SSU rRNA
Rfam family: Eukaryotic small subunit ribosomal RNA
Source: RNAcentral
CUGAAUAACUUUGCUGAUCACAUGGUCCUAGUACCGGUGACAUAUCUUUCAAGUGUCUGCCCUAUCAACUUUCGAUGGUAGUUUAUGUGCCUACCAUGGUUGUAACGGGUGACGGAGAAUAAGGGUUCGACUCCGGAGAGGGAGCCUGAGAAAUGGCUACCACAUCCAAGGAAGGCAGCAGGCGCGCAAAUUACCCACUCUCAGUACGAGGAGGUAGUGACGAAAAAUAACGAGAUGGUUCUCUAUGAGGCCCAUCAUCGGAAUGGGUACAAUUUAAACCCUUUAACGAGGAUCUAUUGGAGGGCAAGUCUGGUGCCAGCAGCCGCGGUAAUUCCAGCUCCAAUAGCAUAUACCAAUUCUGUUUGCUGUUAAAAA